GGUCAACCUAGCUCCUAGAGGUAGAGCAUCAGACUUUUAAUCUGAGGGUCAAGGGUUCAAGUCCUGUUCAGGUGACCA
This 78-nucleotide transfer RNA is filed under the name Perca fluviatilis (European perch). RNAcentral describes it as "tRNA-Lys". The stretch from base 9 to 67 matches the Rfam family "tRNA", at positions 8 to 63 of the family's 71-position model. From Rfam's summary of the family: Transfer RNA (tRNA) molecules are approximately 80 nucleotides in length. Their secondary structure includes four short double-helical elements and three loops (D, anti-codon, and T loops). Further hydrogen bonds mediate the characteristic L-shaped molecular structure. tRNAs have two regions of fundamental functional importance: the anti-codon, which is responsible for specific mRNA codon recognition, and the 3' end, to which the tRNAs corresponding amino acid is attached (by aminoacyl-tRNA synthetases). tRNAs cope with the degeneracy of the genetic code in two manners: having more than one tRNA (with a specific anti-codon) for a particular amino acid; and 'wobble' base-pairing, i.e. permitting non-standard base-pairing at the 3rd anti-codon position. Lineage: Eukaryota; Metazoa; Chordata; Actinopteri; Perciformes; Percidae. The record is from RNAcentral.